CCCUUAGAUGUUCUGGGCUGCACACGUGCUACACUGGCAGGUUCGGCGAGCUUCAUGCCCUGAUCUGAAAGGAAUGGGAAAUCUUUUCAAAACCUGCCGUGCUUGGGAUAGAUGUUUGCAAUUAUUCAUCUUCAACGAGGAUUGCCUUGUAAGCGCACGUCAUCAGCGUGCAUUGAAUACGACCCUGUAUUCUGUACACACCGCCCGUCGCUCCUACCGAUUGAAGUUUUCGGUGAGUUGACAGGAGGAUUUUUUUGAAACUGGUUCGCCAGUGGAUUUUAGAUCCAAAUGCCAACGAAUCGAUGGCUUUAGAGGAAGGAGAAGUCGUAACA
This 332-nucleotide ribosomal RNA is filed under the name uncultured eukaryote. RNAcentral's name for it is "partial 18S ribosomal RNA". It matches the Rfam family "Eukaryotic small subunit ribosomal RNA", at positions 1470 to 1796 of the family's 1831-position model. The record is from RNAcentral.